RNAcentral lists this ribosomal RNA (547 nucleotides) under uncultured bacterium. RNAcentral describes it as "bacterial SSU rRNA". It matches the Rfam family "Bacterial small subunit ribosomal RNA", at positions 355 to 896 of the family's 1533-position model. The record is from RNAcentral.
UGGGGAAUAUUGCGCAAUGGGGGGAACCCUGACGCAGCCAUGCCGCGUGAAUGAAGAAGGCCUUAGGGUUGUAAAGUUCUUUCGGUAUUGAGGAAGGUUGAUGUGUUAAUAGCACAUCAAAUUGACGUUAAAUACAGAAGAAGCACCGGCUAACUCCGUGCCAGCAGCCGCGGUAAUACGGAGGGUGCGAGCGUUAAUCGGAAUAACUGGGCGUAAAGGGCACGCAGGCGGUUAUUUAAGUGAGGUGUGAAAGCCCCGGGCUUAACCUGGGAAUUGCAUUUCAGACUGGGUAACUAGAGUACUUUAGGGAGGGGUAGAAUUCCACGUGUAGCGGUGAAAUGCGUAGAGAUGUGGAGGAAUACCGAAGGCGAAGGCAGCCCCUUGGGAAUGUACUGACGCUCAUGUGCGAAAGCGUGGGGAGCAAACAGGACUAGAUACCCUGGUAGUCCACGCUGUAAACGCUGUCGAUUUGGGGGUUGGGGUUUAACUUUGGCGCCCGUAGCUAACGUGAUAAAUCGACCGCCUGGGGAGUACGGCCGCAAGGUUA